Molecule: ribosomal RNA, 667 nt
Filed under: uncultured bacterium
Lineage: Bacteria
Description: bacterial SSU rRNA
Rfam family: Bacterial small subunit ribosomal RNA
Source: RNAcentral
GAGUGGCGGACGGGUGAGUAACACGUGGGUAACCUGCCCGGAAGUGGGGAAUACCUCGGGGAAACUCGAGCUAAUACCGCAUAACAUCUUCGGGACGAAAGUCCUGACGAUCAAAGCGGGGUCGCAAGAUCUCGCGCUACCGGAUGGGCCCGCGCCCGAUUAGCUAGUUGGUGGGGUAACGGCUCACCAAGGCGACGAUCGGUAGCCGGCCUGAGAGGGUGAUCGGCCACACCGGAACUGAGACACGGUCCGGACUCCUACGGGAGGCAGCAGUGGGGAAUCUUGCGCAAUGGGCGAAAGCCUGACGCAGCAACGCCGCGUGGAGGAUGAAGGCCCUUGGGUUGUAAACUCCUGUCGGCUGGGAAGAAAUCGCGCGGUGCUCAUACCAUCGCGCGUUGACUGUACCAGCAAAGGAAGCCCCGGCUAACUCUGUGCCAGCAGCCGCGGUAAUACAGAGGGGGCCAGCGUUAUUCGGAAUUAUUGGGCGUAAAGGGCGCGUAGGCGGCCAUGCGUGUCUUUCGUGAAAUCCCUCGGCUUAACUGAGGACGUGCGGAAGAAACUGCGAGGCUCGAGUCCGGGAGAGGGGGGUGGAAUUCCCAGUGUAGCGGUGAAAUGCGUAGAUAUUGGGAGGAACACCGGUGGCGAAGGCGGCCCCCUGGACCGGUAC